AUCAUUUCUCGGCCUUUUGGCUAAGAUCGAAUGUCAUAUCUGUUCUUAUCAGCUUAACUUAGAAUUAUUAAACCCUGAUAUCUCAUUGCUAGAAAUGACAGAGAAAUCAUUAAUCCACUGGCCCUCCUCUUAUAGAUGGAGAAGAUGACCACUCAUGAGGUUAAGCAAGGUAUUUCCAGGCUGUAAAAACUAU
RNAcentral lists this small nuclear RNA (193 nucleotides) under Vicugna pacos (alpaca). RNAcentral describes it as "U2 spliceosomal RNA (ENSVPAG00000017519.1)". The stretch from base 1 to 119 matches the Rfam family "U2 spliceosomal RNA". From Rfam's summary of the family: U2 is a small nuclear RNA (snRNA) component of the spliceosome (involved in pre-mRNA splicing). Complementary binding between U2 snRNA (in an area lying towards the 5' end but 3' to hairpin I) and the branchpoint sequence (BPS) of the intron results the bulging out of an unpaired adenosine, on the BPS, which initiates a nucleophilic attack at the intronic 5' splice site, thus starting the first of two transesterification reactions that mediate splicing. Lineage: Eukaryota; Metazoa; Chordata; Mammalia; Artiodactyla; Camelidae. The record is from RNAcentral.